CACCUCCACUCUAUCUCUCUCAAUCUAGUAGAAACUAGAAGAUCUAUUUCUACCUUACAUUGGUUGCUAAGCCUAAAAAGAAAUAUUAUUUAGAGAAGAGGUUUUCCUUCGAGGGCACCCCUCAAUCUCUAUGAUAAUUUCUUGUCUUCUCCAGGGGCCAGGGGGGCCUUGCUUAUAUAGUCCUCCCCUUCUAUGCGUUUUUGGGUCAAUAGGCGAGGUGGUACUAUGUUAUUCUGGAUCCAAUAGGUCGGUGGAACGUCGUGUGCGAAGAGAGUCCUGUUUGGGCAGGGCGGGCGCCCUGGGCCUGGCCCCGUUUCGCCUCCGCUUCGGUCUCGUGGCUUCUGGAGUCUUCUAGAUGGUAGAAAAUUGCGCGGUGGGUUGAUAUCUCUAUGUAAUCCCGAUAUGUGGGCCUUUCUUCCUUAUUUCCUGAUAACCCCCUGCAGAAAUAGACAAACACCAAAACUCGUGGAAUUCUGUCAGAUAAAACCCUAAGUCUAGAUGUUGAUUUCAUUUGGAUCCUUUUCUUUGUUUAUUUGAUAAUUAAAUUUGAUACUUAAGGACCGUCAACAAACUCCCCCAAGCUUACCUCUUGCUCGUCCCUGAGCAAAGAUAGACUUAGCUAUGGAUCAGAAGUUGCUGCAAUAUAUAUAUAUUUUUUUAAAAAAAAAAAAUUGGCGGUACACAUGCUUUUUAAAUAAGAUCUCAUCUCUGAGUUAGAGUAAACUGUCAAGACUUAAAACUUACUUACUUUACCUUCACCAUGGGACUUGUAACCGUCACUUCUGUCUUGAGUGGUUAAAAGAUAGAACAGUCUAGUCAAGUGCCAUGUCUCUUAUUCUUGAUCAGCUAUAGCUCUGGGGCUUUUGCAGAUUUUCAAAUAAAACUCAGAAAUUCCUUGUAUGAUUCUCUCAGGUCUCUCUUUUGUGGUAUUUUUGGAUCCUUACCAAGGCAGUGAUGGUAUAUGCCUUCUCUCAAGAUAUGUAGUAUUUGUGGUAUGAAGCAUAGUGACAUUGCCUUCUCUCUCACCCUACUCUAAUAAGGCUUUAAUAUCUGGAGCUCAUAGGUGGGAGAUAAAAUAUACAUACUUACAAGACAUGUAUUGUGUAGUCAAACCAUGGAUCCAAAGUAACAAGUCAAUAAGUUUAAUCAAGAUGUGCAUGUGUGGUGAAUGAAUGGUGUAUGAUGAUAAUGGUGAUAACAAUGGUGGAAACAAUGGUGGUGGAAGUCUAAUUCUACUUUGCUCUUUUGAGGGGAUACAUACCUUCCUUGCUUUUUGAAACUUUAUGAGGAGAAUGAGAUGCUCUAUAUAUAUGUUUUUUUUUCUUUUCUCUCAGGUGGGUAUCUUGUACCCCUAAUUCUACUGUCGGACACUUGUCCAUUUUUACCUCUCGUCUCACUUUUUCUUUUCUUUCGAGGUUCCGAGCACUUGCUCCUUUUUAUUUCCUCGUAUCUUUUAUUUUCUUUUUUUCUUCUUCUUUUUUUUCUCUUUUUUUUUCUAGAGCACUCAUCUCCUGAAAUAAUGUAGCAAGUGGUAGUAACAAGAUAACUUGAGCAUUUAUUUCACAAGGGGAAACAGAAAUAUUUUUGGUUAUUCUCUCCCGGAUUAGGAGUAGAAUACUUUUGGGUGGUUUUGGAGAUGGAAAUGAGUGGAUAUAUGUGGAUGGUACUUCCGGAGUAGAAGUAGCAUGUAUGAGUGAACGUGCAAGUGAAUCUUGAUUUAACCACAUGACAAGCUCCUAAGGGUCUACACAGCUUGACCACACUCAAUGCUCAUAAGCAGUAAAUAUUAAAUGUGUGGCUCAAAGUCUAGCAAGCAUGUAUAUAUGGCUGUGGUAGGAAUUUAAACUCUCAUCAUACAGGAACUCAUCAUGCAACGUUUUAAAGAUUUUCAAAGAUAUAAUUCUCCAGAAUUCUAGCAUCUCUAGGAACAGAUAAACAGCAGCUCAACCUUCCCAUAUCGUAUCCGUUAACAACUUAGACUUCAGAUCAAGUUUUCAUCCCACAAGUUUAGGUCUAGAGAAAGCUUUAAAUUAUAACAGUUAUAUCUAAACUUGAGAGAGAACUUAAAAUUUGCAAAUUAGGCAGAGCAACUAUUUAUCAUAUCCAUGCUUAAGUUUUAUUUAGAUACAGAUUGGCAUAGCUACUUUAUUUAUUUAUUAAACACACUAAGCAAAAGACAUAUAUAUAAGCAUAAAAUCUUUAUUUGGUUUUCCAUAGUUUAUGUGUAUUUAUAUUCUAAAAUAAUAUAAGUAUAAAGAUAGAUAGAAAUACUUAUCGAGAUAAAUGGGGGUGCUCUCCCCCAAGCUGAAUUUUGACGUAGUUUCUCUUGAUGUAGCUAGCAGGUGGCAGAGGUGUAUUUGAAAGUCAGCAGCAUUCUGACAGCGAUUAGAAUGUCCUCCGUCUGCUAGUCUUCUUGAUUCUUAAAUUCUGUGGAGCUCAAAUAGACAACAUAGCUUGUGGAACUGAUUAAGUGUUAGCAUAAAGUGUUAGCAUAAAUAUCUAGCCUUUAUCAUGUUAAGACUCCUUAAUAAAUAUUACUCCCUGUUUUUAUAUUUUUGUUUUUAUAAAGCAGAAAAAUAUUUAUUUUAUUUUUAUGCCACCACAGUGAAUGUACUUAUGGGUUUUAUGCCACUCGUCUACUCACAUGGGGCUUACAGUUUUUUUUUCACAUUUUUAUUUUCUUUCUAGGAUAAUACGAACAUGAUUAACUAAGUAAACUAUUUGAAAUAAUUAAAAGGGAAAGGAUAACUACCAAGUUUACCUCUUGGCAAGGCGUUCGGUGUUUUUAAGUCCUCCGAGCGGGACUCUCCAUUUUCUUAAUCGUCCUGGGAUUCGCUGGAUGACGUAGUCGGUGGUUCCGGCGGCGCCUCCUCUUCGUGUGUAACUAUAUUCUCUCUCCACACCUGACUCGGUACUACGGUCUCCUCAGGACAGUUAUGUUCAAGUGGUAUGUCUUCAGUCCUUAUCACUUUCCUUCGUAGUCUACCCAUCCGUCCUUGAUGAUUUGCCUCCUCUGGUUGCGGUUGCGAUGUCUUCUUCUUGUCCUGACCUGCUUAGAGUCUUCAACUAUAUAGUUAGGGUCAGUAAAGUAGUGGCGUACCUUCUCAGAGAGGAAGUGCAUGUGGACUUCUCCGGUUCCAAUAUAGAUGAUGGCUUUGAUAGUGUUGAGGAACGGUCUUCCAAGGAUGAUGGGUGGAUCAUACUCGUCUUCUCCCAUGUCAAUGACCUGAAAAUUGUCUGAAGCUGAAUGUAUCUUGGUUGUAGGGGCAUGGUUCUAUGCGAGCUGAUAAGUGACUGCGGCCAUUAUGUUGUCGUCAGAUCCAGUGUCGUAGAGUGUCUUCUAAAAAGAGUAUCCAUUGUUUGUGCAUUCGAUUCUUGGAACACCAGGGUCGUCCUUCUUGAUCAAGAAAGGUGACUUGAGUCGACGAUCUUGACCUCCUUGAGCUGCAGUGACCAUCUUAGCUGACUCGGUCCACAUUUGCUUGUUCCUGUUCCUCCUGUUGGUCCUCUUCCUUGGUUCAUGUCAGGGUUGCUCUGAAGUUUGUGUAGUCUUGUUCUUGAAGGAAAGUCUCCUUCUUCCCCUUGAUGUAGAAACUGAUCUUGGCAGCAUUAGCGUAGAUGACAGCUCUGGUGUUUAGGAAUGGCCUCCCUAAGAUGAUGGGUGCCCUCUCCUCAGUGCCAGUCUCUAUCACCACGAAGUUUGCUGGAGUGUACAAGGUACCAACUCGGACACAGAGGUUCUUCAAUAUUUCCUUUGGGAAACUAAGUGUCUGAUCUCCAUUGUGUUUGUGCUUGUAGAUCCCGGUUCUUCACUUGAUGGAAUCUGGGAGUUGUAAAACGCCUUCACGUUUCUCAAAAUGUGUCCUACUCAUAGAGACAAGGCAGAGAUCAAGUGCAUGGGCCCUGUUGGUGGAAAACACCAACAGAACCAAAAGUGUAUUUGUUCUUCUCUAACCUUAAGCAUUGUGAGCAAGACAAAGUUGAUGGAUCAUGAGUGUAGCAUUUAAAAUAUUUGUUAGAUCAGAUGGCUCAACCUAAUGGAAAGAUAAUCUCUCUAUAUUUAUGUUUUGUUUAUAUCUUCCAAAGAUUGAAUGUGCAAUACUUUAGCUUAUAAGAUUAGGAGUGUG
RNAcentral lists this long non-coding RNA (4127 nucleotides) under Sorghum bicolor (sorghum). RNAcentral describes it as "long non-coding RNA (SBIC_LNC004822)". The record is from RNAcentral. Lineage: Eukaryota; Viridiplantae; Streptophyta; Magnoliopsida; Poales; Poaceae.